CCUACGGGUGGCAGCAGUAGGGAAUAUUGCUCAAUGGGGGAAACCCUGAAGCAGCAACGCCGCGUGGAGGAUGAAGGUUUUCGGAUUGUAAACUCCUUUUGUUAGAGAAGAUAAUGACGUUAUCUAACGAAUAAGCACUGGCUAACUCCGUGCCAGCAGCCGCGGUAAUACGGAGGGUGCACGGGUUACUCGGAAUCACUGGGCGUAAAGAGCGCGUAGGCGGGAUAGCAAGUCAGAUGUGAAAUCCUAUGGCUUAACCAGAGAACUGCAUUUGAAACUGUUAGUCUAGAGUAUGGGAGAGGGAGGUGGAAUUCUUGGUGUAGGGGUAAAAUCCGUAGAGAUCAAGAGGAAUACUCAUUGCGAAGGCGACCUG
Molecule: ribosomal RNA, 373 nt
Filed under: uncultured bacterium
Lineage: Bacteria
Description: partial 16S ribosomal RNA
Rfam family: Bacterial small subunit ribosomal RNA
Source: RNAcentral